UGGGGAUGACGUCAAGUCCUCAUGGCCCCUUAGUAGGUGGGGCUACACACGUCAUACAAUGGAUGGUACAAAGGGUCGCCAACCCGCGAGGGGGAGCCAAUCCCAUAAAGCCAUUCGUAGUCCGGAUCGCAGUCUGCAACUCGACUGCGUGAAGUCGGAAUCGCUAGUAAUCGCGGAUCAGCAUGUCGCGGUGAAUACGUUCCCGGGUCCGUU
Molecule: ribosomal RNA, 213 nt
Filed under: uncultured Acidovorax sp.
Lineage: Bacteria; Pseudomonadati; Pseudomonadota; Betaproteobacteria; Burkholderiales; Comamonadaceae
Description: partial 16S ribosomal RNA
Rfam family: Bacterial small subunit ribosomal RNA
Source: RNAcentral